Molecule: transfer RNA, 72 nt
Filed under: Daphnia magna
Lineage: Eukaryota; Metazoa; Arthropoda; Branchiopoda; Diplostraca; Daphniidae
Description: tRNA-Glu
Rfam family: tRNA
About the family: Transfer RNA (tRNA) molecules are approximately 80 nucleotides in length. Their secondary structure includes four short double-helical elements and three loops (D, anti-codon, and T loops). Further hydrogen bonds mediate the characteristic L-shaped molecular structure. tRNAs have two regions of fundamental functional importance: the anti-codon, which is responsible for specific mRNA codon recognition, and the 3' end, to which the tRNAs corresponding amino acid is attached (by aminoacyl-tRNA synthetases). tRNAs cope with the degeneracy of the genetic code in two manners: having more than one tRNA (with a specific anti-codon) for a particular amino acid; and 'wobble' base-pairing, i.e. permitting non-standard base-pairing at the 3rd anti-codon position.
Source: RNAcentral
UCCCAUAUUGUCUAGUGGUUAGGAUACCUGGCUCUCACCCGGGAGGCCCGGGUUCAAUUCCCGGUAUGGGAA